Molecule: ribosomal RNA, 425 nt
Filed under: uncultured bacterium
Lineage: Bacteria
Description: partial 16S ribosomal RNA
Rfam family: Bacterial small subunit ribosomal RNA
Source: RNAcentral
GUGGGGAAUCUUAGACAAUGGGGGAAACCCUGAUCUAGCCAUGCCGCGUGAGCGAUGAAGGCCUUAGGGUUGUAAAGCUCUUUCAGCUGGGAAGAUAAUGACGGUACCAGCAGAAGAAGCCCCGGCUAACUCCGUGCCAGCAGCCGCGGUAAUACGGAGGGGGCUAGCGUUGUUCGGAAUUACUGGGCGUAAAGCGCGCGUAGGCGGACCAGAAAGUUGGAGGUGAAAUCCCAGGGCUCAACCUUGGAACUGCCUUCAAAACUCCUGGUCUGGAGUUCGAGAGAGGUGAGUGGAAUUCCGAGUGGAGAGGUGAAAUUCGUAGAUAUUCGGAGGAACACCAGUGGCGAAGGCGGCUCACUGGCUCGAUACUGACGCUGAGGUGCGAAAGCGUGGGGAGCAAACAGGAUUAGAUACCCGGGUAGUCC